UACGAAGGGGGCUAGCGUUGCUCGGAAUCACUGGGCGUAAAGCGCACGUAGGCGGCUUUUUUAAGUCAGGGGUGAAAUCCUGGAGCUCAACUCCAGAACUGCCUUUGAUACUGAGAAGCUUGAGUCCGGGAGAGGUGAGUGGAACUGCGAGUGUAGAGGUGAAAUUCGUAGAUAUUCGCAAGAACACCAGUGGCGAAGGCGGCUCACUGGCCCGGUACUGACGCUGAGGUGCGAAAGCGUGGGGAGCAAACAGG
This 254-nucleotide ribosomal RNA is filed under the name uncultured bacterium. RNAcentral's name for it is "partial 16S ribosomal RNA". It matches the Rfam family "Bacterial small subunit ribosomal RNA", at positions 524 to 776 of the family's 1533-position model. The record is from RNAcentral.